Molecule: unclassified non-coding RNA, 975 nt
Filed under: Hevea brasiliensis (rubber tree)
Lineage: Eukaryota; Viridiplantae; Streptophyta; Magnoliopsida; Malpighiales; Euphorbiaceae
Source: RNAcentral
UUUUUUUUGGGAAUUUUUUUUUAUCAGUAUAAUCUGCCCUUGAGGAAGUUGGUGCACAGCUUCUUCCAUGCCUCCUUAUCUGGCUCUUGUCCAUCCAAAUUUGCCCUGAUCUCAUCAGCAAAUGAUUCCACAAUAAGAUUACGUUGGAGAAGACGAUCAACCAAGUGGGAGAGAAUGUCUCUGUUGUACUCAGGAUGACCUUGGAUGCCCAUGAUGUGAUCUUCAUACCUAAACAUCUCAAUCCCAGUCUUAUCAGACCAUGCAAUCACCUCAGCUUCUGGUGGGAGUUCACGGACCUCGUCCCUAUGGCACUCGAUCACAGCUAGUGACGCAGGCACUUUCACUGACGAGAAUAGUUUCGUUGAUGAUGAGAAAUGGAUGGUUGUGAUUCCCAUAUCCCAGCCAGAGACGGCAGGGCCUGUUUUUCCUCCCAGUGAACGCGCCAGUAUCUGGUGUCCAAAACAAAUUCCAAGAAUUUUCUUCUUCAUGGAAUUCAACUUUUGCAAGAGAAUCAAGAGCUUUAGGAUCCAAACAUCAUUUCCAUGAGCAUCAUUACAGCUUCCAGUGAUGACAAACCCAUCAAAGGUUUUAAUCUCUUCAUCAUCAGGAAACUCUCCACAAGCUACCUUAUAAACAUCCCAUGUCUCUCCUUCCUCUCCCAGCAUUCUCAAAAACACUCCAAAGUACCCUCCAUACUUCAUUUUCACAUACUCAGGGUCCUCUGCACACAGAAGAACAGCAAAUUUCUUUCCACCCAUGUCUAUGAUUUCCUCCCUUGAACCAAAAAUACUCUUCUUCCUUUAUUCUGUUUAAUGUGAAAAUGUGACUCUUCCUCUCUCUAACAAGCCUCCGCCUUUAGAGAGAGAAAAGAGAUGGAGGAGAUGGGUUUCCUUCCUCUGUUAAGAAAGGAGGGAUUUCAGAUACAGAGGAAGGAAAGAGACACAAACAGAGAGAGACGGCUUGGUUUAGUUUUAC